Molecule: ribosomal RNA, 497 nt
Filed under: uncultured bacterium
Lineage: Bacteria
Description: partial 16S ribosomal RNA
Rfam family: Bacterial small subunit ribosomal RNA
Source: RNAcentral
GACGAACGCUGGCGGCGUGCCUAAUACAUGCAAGUUGAGCGCUGAAGGUUGGUACUUGUACCAACUGGAUGAGCAGCGAACGGGUGAGUAACGCGUGGGGAAUCUGCCUUUGAGCGGGGGACAACAUUUGGAAACGAAUGCUAAUACCGCAUAAAAACUUUAAACACAAGUUUUAAGUUUGAAAGAUGCAAUUGCAUCACUCAAAGAUGAUCCCGCGUUGUAUUAGCUAGUUGGUGAGGUAAAGGCUCACCAAGGCGAUGAUACAUAGCCGACCUGAGAGGGGGAUCGGCCACAUUGGGACUGAGACACGGCCCAAACUCCUACGGGAGGCAGCAGUAGGGAAUCUUCGGCAAUGGACGAAAGUCUGAACGAGCAACGCCGCGUGAGUGAAGAAGGUUUUCGGAUCGUAAAACUCUGUUGGUAGAGAAGAACGUUGGUGAGAGUGGAAAGCUCAUCAAGUGACGGUAACUACCCAGAAAGGGACGGCUAACUACGUG